UUUUUCUGUUUCUUCUGUUUCCUAUUCCUAUGUCUAUUUUAUUUUUCUGUUAUUUUCCAUUAUUUCUGUUUUCUA
This 75-nucleotide non-coding RNA is filed under the name uncultured eukaryote. The record is from RNAcentral.